RNAcentral lists this long non-coding RNA (1227 nucleotides) under Anas platyrhynchos platyrhynchos (common mallard). RNAcentral's name for it is "lncRNA (ENSAPLG00000023521.1)". Lineage: Eukaryota; Metazoa; Chordata; Aves; Anseriformes; Anatidae. The record is from RNAcentral.
AUGGGGAGUACGAGGUGUACGGACGUAUAUACGGCCAUACACCCCAUCCCAGGUUGCUGCCCGUGCUCCCUGCAGCUUGCCCCCAAAUUCCAAAAUAGCGUCCCCAAAUUCGGAGCAGGACGGUUCCCUCUCCUCAUGCCAGGAGGCAGGACGGUCACCACGGGAGGCGAGGUGCCCCCAUUCCGCCCGCCGCCUUCUUGGCAGAGCGAUAGCGGGGGGCUGCCCUCCUUCGGGCACACCUCGGCUCCACGCACCUGGGCAGGUGCCUCAGCCACCAGGGACACCCGCCACGAGUGUCCCAAGGGGAAAAGGAGCCCUGGGGCCACCCGGCUGUCGCCCCCGAGGGCUCGCAGCGGGGCUGAGGGCGCGGGGGGCCGGCCCGGCGGAAGAUGGCGGCCGCGCUGUCGGCACCCAGCUCUUCCCCGGCUCGGUCCCCGCGGCCGCCUCCGUCCCCUCCCCUCUGCACCGCCUCCUUCCCCACCCUCCCGUCCCUCCUCCUCCUCCUCCUCCUCCUCCUCCUCCUCCCCGGGGAGGGGAGCGGCAGCGGCUGCCCUGGCUGAGCCGGGCUCGUGUGCUUCUCUCUCGGCAGGAGUCCGGGAAGAUGGCCGGGGCCGAGGCGGGGAUGAGCGGCGGCGGCAUCCAGCAGCAGCAGCAGCCCCAGCAGCACCCGGCGGCGGUGGGAGCGGCGGUGGGGGCAGCGGACGAGUCGUCGGACAGCGAAGGGGAGCACGAGGGCCCCCAAAAACUCAUCCGCAAAGUGUCCACCUCGGGGCAGAUCCGCAGCAAGGUAAAAGCGGGGAGGCAGCCGCCCAGCCCCGCCGCCCCGGGGGCCACUUUGGCCGCCCCGGGGGCAGCCGCCGCAUCCCGAGCGCAUCCCUCUGCCCCCCGGGGCGGCGGGGGCGAGGCAGCUGCGCCUCUUCCUUCCUUCCCUCCCUCCCUCUCCCCUCCUCCCCGGCCAGCUGUUUUGGCCACAUCUGUCCCCGGCUGGCAGAAAGCCCCCCGGGGCGGCGGGGCCGCGGGGCCGGAGGGGAAACCGCCUGCCAAAAGGCGGCCGGCAGCCGCCCCGCCUGCCUCCGGGGUGUGGGGGAAGCGGCGGCUGCCUCCCUCCUGCUCCUCUUCCUCGGCGGCAUCCCGCCCUGCACGGCUUCUCCUGCACCCCCGGACCCGCUUUGGGAGCAGGAGGGGUCGUGCGAGGCAGGGGGAGGCAGCGCUGCCUCCGGGCUGUAG